UAACGAAUAUUGGGCAAUGGGCGAAAGCCUGACCCAGCAAUGCCGCGUGCAGGACGAAGUCCUUCGGGAUGUAAACUGCUGUCAGGGGUCCGCAAGCGAAGGGGUCCAACAGGCCCUGGAGUUGAGCAGCCCCAGAGGAAGCCUCGACUAACUCUGUGCCAGCAGUCGCGGUAAGACAGAGGAGGCAAGCGUUGUUCGGAAUUACUGGGCGUAAAGGGCAUGUAGGCGGUUUAGUAAGCUUGGCGUGAAAGACCACAGCUCAACUGCGGGGUUGCGUUGAGAACUGCUGAACUUGAGUUACGGAGAGGGAGCUAGAAUUCCUGGUGUAGAGGUGAAAUUCGUAGAUAUCAGGAGGAACACCGGUGGCGAAGGCGACUUCCUGGCCCUAUACUGACGCUGAGACGCGAGAGCGUGGGUAGCAAACA
RNAcentral lists this ribosomal RNA (425 nucleotides) under uncultured prokaryote. Its description in RNAcentral is "bacterial SSU rRNA". It matches the Rfam family "Bacterial small subunit ribosomal RNA", at positions 355 to 774 of the family's 1533-position model. The record is from RNAcentral.